This 927-nucleotide non-coding RNA is filed under the name Cornufer vitianus (Fiji ground frog). Its description in RNAcentral is "Platymantis vitianus (Fiji ground frog) 12S ribosomal RNA". It matches the Rfam family "Bacterial small subunit ribosomal RNA". Lineage: Eukaryota; Metazoa; Chordata; Amphibia; Anura; Ceratobatrachidae. The record is from RNAcentral.
AAAGGUUUGGUCCAAGCCUUACUAUUAAUUAUAUCCUAACUUACACAUUGCAAGUAUCAGCACACCCGUGAGGACGCCCUUCCACCUUAUCUAGAAGAAGGGGCAGGUAUCAGGCACAGAAUUCUAGCCCUAAACACCUAGGACCACCACAUCCCCAAGGAUAAACAGCAGUGAUUAAUUUUACUAAUAAGCGUCAGCUUGAACUAGCUAAGGAUAAAAGAGUUGGCCAACAUGGUGCCAGCCGCCGCGGCUACACCAAGGACUCAAAUUAAUAAUUUUCGGUGUCAAAUGUGAUAUUAAGUAAGCAAAUAAUUAGGGCUGAACGGAGACCUAGUCGUCUAAAACACGCCCCCAUUAAACCAAACACAAAAGUUGCCCUAAUCCCUACUCGAAAGCACGACAGCUAAGACACAAACUGAGAUUAGACACCCCACUAUGCUUAGCUAUAAAAUAAAAUUACGCCAAAAACACCAGGGAACUACGAGCCACGCUUAAAACCCAAUGGACUUGACGGUGCCCCAUCCAACUAGAGGAGCCUGUUCUAUAAUUGACAAUCCCCACUACACCUCGCCCCCAUUUGCCUAUCAGCCUGUAUACCUCCGUCGCAAGUUUACUCUAUGAAUAUCCAAAAGUAAACCUAAUAGGGAACCCCCCACCACGUCAGGUCAAGGUGCAGCCAAUAUAGGGGUAGAUAAUGGGCUACAAUUUCUAAUAUAGAAUAAACGAAAAAUCGCAUGAAACUGUGAUUCAAAGGAGGAUUUAGAAGUAAGAGCAGAAUAGAGAGCCCCUCUUAAACAGGACCUGGGUCGCGUACAAACCGCCCGUCACCCUCUUCAAUAAUUAUUCACCCGUAACUUAUACCAAAAAAUUCUCAAGAAGAGGUAAGUCGUAACAUGGUAAGUGUACUGGAAAGUGCACUUGGAUUAA